This 434-nucleotide ribosomal RNA is filed under the name uncultured bacterium. RNAcentral describes it as "bacterial SSU rRNA". It matches the Rfam family "Bacterial small subunit ribosomal RNA", at positions 608 to 1042 of the family's 1533-position model. The record is from RNAcentral.
CUAAACUGAGGAAAGUCGACCGAUACUGAUCGGCUAGAGGGACGUAGAGGUAAGCGGAACUCUCGGAGUAGCGGUGAAAUGCGUAGAGACCGAGAGGUACCCCGAUGGUGAAGACAGCUUACUGGGCGUCUCCUGACGCUGAAGCGCUAAGGCCAGGGGAGCGAAGGGGAUUAGAUACCCCCGUAGUCCUGGCUUCAAACGAUGUGGGCUUGGUGUCGGCUCCCGAUAGAGAGUCGUUGCCGGAGCUAACGUGUUAAGCCCACCGCCUGGGGAUUACGUCCGCAAAGACGAAACUCAAGGGAAUUGACGGGGGCCCACACAACCGGUGGAGCACGUGGUUUAAUUCGAUGAUAAGCGAAGAACCUUACCAGGGCUUGACCUAGCGGUGGUAGGAUCCUGAAAAGGAAACGACCUCAAGCUUUGCUUGAGGAGCC